AGAACGUUAGCAUAAAAACACCUGGGAUGUGGGAACACAGAAAAGCAUUAAGAGCUAUAAAAACUCUUAGAGAUCUUCAAAUCCAACUUUCCCUUCUGGAAAGAUCUAGACAUUGAGGACAGAGCAGGAAGGUGGCUCCCUUACCCAAGAUCGUUCCAAAUGGUUAGUAAUAAGAAAAGAUCUAGACUCCAGGCCGGCCAUAGAGCCUCUGAGGCCAUCUUAUUAGACUUGUGAGCCCAUUUCAGAAAGCCAGACCUCUCUGAAAAGAUGAGGAACCUGGUAUAAUUAACCAUGGCUUCCUCAAGCUUUCGUAAUCAGUCCUCCAAGCUAAUGAAACAUCUCUGCUCUGAAAAUACCCAAAGGUCUCCUGAGAUUGACCUACAGUCAUAGGACAGAAAAAGUCAGAGCUGGAAGAGCAGCUCAUGUGCUCACCUUGGACAAGCAAGAUACAACUUGGAUUUUCUUGGACCUUUCACCUGUAGUAUUGACUUGGGAAUGGUCAUCUUUUCUAAGAAAUCACUGUAGAUAUCAACUCCUUCUGGACUACCAACAUCCAAAUCCAGGAGCCCCUGACCUCUCAAGACUAAUGAAUUUGGUAAUAAGGGUAAAAAAAUCCCUGCCAAAAUUGCUGUUCAGUCACCUAUGCUCAAGGAAAGAAACUCAAAGCAGGAGGAGCAUCAAGGAACUUGAGAUCCAGGCUCAGGUUUUCCUAGGUCUUUUUCUUUGUUAGAGAAAACAGAAGCAAAAUAACAACUGAGUAUGGCUGUCUUCACUCUGUUAUUCAUUAUCAAUAUCCCACAUACCUCCAAGCGGUGGUCCUCUGCUUUUUUGGAUCCUACUUAUCAUCCAAUAGGGCUGUGAUGGCAAACCUAUGGCACACAUGUCAAAGAAGGCACACAGAACCCUCUCUACAGGAAGGAAGAGGAUAAGGAGUAGAAGAGUGAUAAUGAGAAUACAAAAGGAAGAAGCGCAUGUAGACAUGUGGAUGAGCAAGGCCAACACUUGGUACACUAAAGUGCCCUCUUGCUGCCCUGCACCUACAAUGCAAAAGAACAAAGGAAAAGUCAAGUAUCCUCACUUGCUUCUCAUGGUCCAGAAUCCAUUACAUUUCUAUUCAGAGGUUCUGUAAAUGUAUAACAAUGUCUUUCCUGCAUCCAUCUGCCUUUAUUAUCCUCGGAGAACCUUCAACUAGUGAUGCCACACAUAUAUAAGGCAAACUAUAUCUGAAUAUUUAGGAUACUCACAUGAUAUUAACAAUAUAAGUAAAUAAAAUAUUUUAAGCUUGACA
Molecule: long non-coding RNA, 1288 nt
Filed under: Monodelphis domestica (gray short-tailed opossum)
Lineage: Eukaryota; Metazoa; Chordata; Mammalia; Didelphimorphia; Didelphidae
Description: lncRNA (ENSMODG00000032324.2)
Source: RNAcentral